GACGAACGCUGGCGGCGCGCCUAACACAUGCAAGUCGAACGGAGCUGCGAGAAGCUUGCUUUUCUUAGCUUAGUGGCGAACGGGUGAGUAACGCGUGAGUAACCUGCCCUGGAGUGGGGGACAACAGUUGGAAACGACUGCUAAUACCGCAUAAGCCCACGAUCCGGCAUCGGAUUGAGGGAAAAGGAUUUAUUCGCUUCAGGAUGGACUCGCGUCCAAUUAGCUAGUUGGUGAGGUAACGGCCCACCAAGGCGACGAUUGGUGGCCGGACUGAGAGGUUGAACGGCCACAUUGGGACUGAGUCACGGCCCAGACUCCUACGGGAGGCAGCAGUGGGGGAUAUUGCACAAUGGGGGAAACCCUGAUGCAGCGACGCCGCGUGGAGGAAGAAGGUUUUCGGAUUGUAAACUCCUGUCGUUAGGGACGAUAAUGACGGUACCUAACAAGAAAGCACCGGCUAACUACGU
This 467-nucleotide ribosomal RNA is filed under the name uncultured bacterium. RNAcentral describes it as "partial 16S ribosomal RNA". It matches the Rfam family "Bacterial small subunit ribosomal RNA", at positions 28 to 506 of the family's 1533-position model. The record is from RNAcentral.